AGGAUGGAAAGUGCUUUCUUUGCAGGUGAGCCAAGAUGUGCCAACCUU
Molecule: transfer RNA, 48 nt
Filed under: Lepidoglyphus destructor
Lineage: Eukaryota; Metazoa; Arthropoda; Arachnida; Sarcoptiformes; Glycyphagidae
Description: tRNA-Ala
Source: RNAcentral